This is a long non-coding RNA of Telopea speciosissima, 355 nucleotides long. RefSeq lists it as uncharacterized. The record is from RefSeq and is a predicted model, not a curated record. The transcript has 2 exons. Lineage: Eukaryota; Viridiplantae; Streptophyta; Magnoliopsida; Proteales; Proteaceae.
AGUCGAAAGUAAACAGGAACUCAAGCAGCUGAAUAUAGGAUUUUAUAACAGAGGAAAGAGAAAACAGUUGGGGUUGCGCAGAAAAGGAAUCUGUACAAAAAACAAACGAAAGCUUGGGUUCUACAGACAGGAGAUUUUAUGAGAAUGGAAGAUAGAAAUUUUACUAUCUGAUAAUUUUGGAAAACUCAAAAUGAAAGGUAGCUGAGACUGAUCAAGGAAACUUUGAUUUGGGUAUUCGAAUAGGAAUAAGAUUAGGGUUUUCUGGACAAGAAAACUGUAGGAACAUUGAGGUUCAGCCGCCGAUAAUCAUAACCUUCACGAAUGAUUCCUUAUUCGAGAAGAAAAUAACAAAGCU